RNAcentral lists this unclassified non-coding RNA (446 nucleotides) under Hevea brasiliensis (rubber tree). The record is from RNAcentral. Lineage: Eukaryota; Viridiplantae; Streptophyta; Magnoliopsida; Malpighiales; Euphorbiaceae.
CUUGUCUAACUGGAGCCUCCAUAUAUCUACGCUUCAGUAUGAAUGUAACGCUAAGAAAAGUUUUUUUACAGUAAGCGCUGGUACAUAUUUUAUUAUUAUAUUUUUUGCAACAGACAAGUAGAUUUUUUAUUCACUGUUUGUCCUUUUAUCGCACAGGUUUUUCUCUUCCUAUUUUGUGACUGUUUCUUUCACAAGUACAUGAAAAUUGGUAGCUAGUGCCAAUGGAAGACAUUUAAGGAAAAAUGAUAUGCAGAAAUACUUUAUUUAUGAUUAUACCAGCAAAUGAGAAGAAUAUGAUUAUCCCAGCAAAUGAAAAAAGCAUAGCAUUUUUCAAUGUUAGUGGAGUCAAUAACUGCCAAAUUGUUUACUAUUUUUAAACAAUAAUUUUGCCUUUUAACUCUAGGCAAUUGAAAAAUGCAAAUACCAAAUUUCUCUACAACUCCAAG